This 208-nucleotide ribosomal RNA is filed under the name uncultured bacterium. RNAcentral's name for it is "partial 16S ribosomal RNA". It matches the Rfam family "Bacterial small subunit ribosomal RNA", at positions 1295 to 1500 of the family's 1533-position model. The record is from RNAcentral.
GGAUUGUAGUCUGCAACCCGACUACAUGAAGUUGGAAUCGCUAGUAAUCGCGAAUCAGAAUGUCGCGGUGAAUACGUUCCCGGGCCUUGUACACACCGCCCGUCACACCAUGGGAGUUGGAAGCGCCCGAAGUCGGUGACCUGACCCGAGAGGGAGGGAGCCGCCGAAGGUGAAGCCAGUAACUGGGGUGAAGUCGUAACAAGGUAGC